RNAcentral lists this ribosomal RNA (433 nucleotides) under uncultured bacterium. RNAcentral's name for it is "partial 16S ribosomal RNA". It matches the Rfam family "Bacterial small subunit ribosomal RNA", at positions 38 to 507 of the family's 1533-position model. The record is from RNAcentral.
GGGGGGGGGGGGGGGGGGGGGGGGCGCGUGCAGGGCGGGCGGGCGCGGCGGGGUCGGCGGCGGGCGGGUGGGGCACGCGGGGGAGCGUACCCUUCGGUGCGGGGGCACGCGGGGAAACUAGCGCUAAUACCGGAUACGCCCUUUUGGGGACAGGUGUACUGCCGCAGGGGCGGCCCGCGUCUGAUGAGCUAGUUGGUGGGGUACGUGCCUACCACGGCGACGAUAAGUAGCUGGUCUGAGCGGAUGAUCCGCCACACUGGGACUGAGACACGGCCCAGACUCCUACGGGAGGCAGCAGUGGGGAAUAUGGGACAAGGGGCGCAAGCCUGAUCCAGCCAGGCCGCGUGAGUGAGGAAGGCCUUAGGGUUGUAAAGCACUUUUGUCCGGGACGAUAAUGACGGUACCGGAAGAAUAAGCCCCGGCUAACUUCGUG